Molecule: small RNA, 117 nt
Filed under: Salvator merianae (Argentine black and white tegu)
Lineage: Eukaryota; Metazoa; Chordata; Lepidosauria; Squamata; Teiidae
Description: TUC338 (ENSSMRG00000011505.1)
Source: RNAcentral
UCUUCUCAUUCACAGGUCAGGUGCAAUGCGGACAAAUGCACUGCCGCCUCCCCUACGCUGCCCCUCCUGUGCACCUCAAAGCGGACAUGGAAGGACCCCUGUCCAGUAGGGGAGAGA